GAUGAACGCUGGCGGCGUGCCUAAUACAUGCAAGUCGAGCGAACAGACGAGGAGCUUGCUCCUCUGACGUUAGCGGCGGACGGGUGAGUAACACGUGGAUAACCUACCUAUAAGACUGGGAUAACUUCGGGAAACCGGAGCUAAUACCGGAUAACAUGUUGAACCGCAUGGUUCAAUAGUGAAAGACGGUCUUGCUGUCACUUAUAGAUGGAUCCGCGCCGCAUUAGCUAGUUGGUAAGGUAACGGCUUACCAAGGCAACGAUGCGUAGCCGACCUGAGAGGGUGAUCGGCCACACUGGAACUGAGACACGGUCCAGACUCCUACGGGAGGCAGCAGUAGGGAAUCUUCCGCAAAGGGCGAAAGCCUGACGGAGCAACGCCGCGUGAGUGAAGAAGGUCUUCGGAUCGUAAAACUCUGUUAUUAGGGAAGAACAAAUGUGUAAGUAACUAUGCACGUCUUGACGGUACCUAAUCAGAAAGCCACGGCUAACUACGUG
This 497-nucleotide ribosomal RNA is filed under the name uncultured bacterium. RNAcentral describes it as "partial 16S ribosomal RNA". It matches the Rfam family "Bacterial small subunit ribosomal RNA", at positions 28 to 507 of the family's 1533-position model. The record is from RNAcentral.